GACGAACGCUGGCGGCGUGCUUAACACAUGCAAGUCGAACGGAAAGGCCCUGCUUUUGUGGGGUGCUCGAGUGGCGAACGGGUGAGUAACACGUGAGUAACCUGCCCUUGACUUUGGGAUAACUUCAAGAAACUGGGGCUAAUACCGGAUAGGAGCUCCUGCUGCAUGGUGGGGGUUGGAAAGUUUCGGCGGUUGGGGAUGGACUCGCGGCUUAUCAGCUUGUUGGUGGGGUAGUGGCUUACCAAGGCUUUGACGGGUAGCCGGCCUGAGAGGGUGACCGGCCACAUUGGGACUGAGAUACGGCCCAGACUCCUACGGGAGGCAGCAGUGGGGAAUAUUGCACAAUGGGCGGAAGCCUGAUGCAGCAACGCCGCGUGCGGGAUGACGGCCUUCGGGUUGUAAACCGCUUACGCCUGUGACGAAGCGUGAGUGACGGUAAUGGGUAAAGAAGCACCGGCUAACUACGUG
Molecule: ribosomal RNA, 468 nt
Filed under: uncultured bacterium
Lineage: Bacteria
Description: partial 16S ribosomal RNA
Rfam family: Bacterial small subunit ribosomal RNA
Source: RNAcentral